This is a regulatory RNA element of Clostridium sp. CAG:510, 94 nucleotides long. It matches the Rfam family "Glycine riboswitch aptamer". From Rfam's summary of the family: This family represents the bacterial glycine riboswitch. Glycine riboswitches usually consist of two metabolite-binding aptamers domains with similar structures in tandem. The record is from Rfam. NCBI's taxonomy places the organism in Bacteria, Bacillati, Bacillota, Clostridia, Eubacteriales, Clostridiaceae.
CAAACGCACUCUGGAGAGUCUCCGCACAUCGGAGCGCCGAAGGUGUACAGCAGGUAACUGCCAAUCUCUCAGGCAAAAGGACAGAGCAUCACAA